Molecule: non-coding RNA, 151 nt
Organism: Hepatocystis sp. ex Piliocolobus tephrosceles
Lineage: Eukaryota; Apicomplexa; Aconoidasida; Haemosporida; Plasmodiidae
Source: the annotation of a GenBank genome assembly
UUUUUAAUGAUGAAUAGAUGACGAGUAUGAAAAAAUUAAAAAAUAUAUUUGUUUAUAUUUUUAAAUACAUGUUUUUAUGUUUUAUAAAUAUUUAAACAAAUAUAUUUUUUAUUUUUACCAUAUGAUUAUAAUGAGGCAUUUGUCUGAAAAA